RNAcentral lists this ribosomal RNA (531 nucleotides) under Clithon sowerbianum. Its description in RNAcentral is "partial 16S ribosomal RNA". It matches the Rfam family "Bacterial large subunit ribosomal RNA", at positions 1808 to 2608 of the family's 2925-position model. The record is from RNAcentral. Lineage: Eukaryota; Metazoa; Mollusca; Gastropoda; Cycloneritida; Neritidae.
CAAAAACAUGUCUCUUAGGAAUUAUUAAGAGUCAGGCCUGCCCAGUGAUUGCUUUUUAACGGCCGCGGUACCCUGACCGUGCAAAGGUAGCAUAAUCAUUUGCCUUUUAAUUGAAGGCUGGUAUGAACGGUUUGACGAGAGUAAAGCUGUCUCACACAUAAUUAAUAGAAAUUAAUUUAAAGGUGCAAAAGCCUUUAUAAAUCAAAAAGACGAGAAGACCCUGUUGAGCUUUAAUUUAAACCAAGUAUAAACCAUAUAUUAAUAUAAUUUAUCUGCUUGAUAAAAAUUUUAAUUGGGGCGAUUAAGGAACACUCAAAAGCUUCCUGACUGUUACAAAAAUAUUCUAUAGAUUAAAUCGAUCCAGCAAUGCUGAUCAACAAAAUGAGUUACCACAGGGAUAACAGCAUAAUUCUUUUUGAGAGCUCAUAUCGAAAAAAGAGAUUGUGACCUCGAUGUUGGACUAGGGUAACCGGAAGGUGUAGCCGCUUUCCCGCUUGGUCUGUUCGACCAAUAAUUCCCUACGUGAUCUGA